This 253-nucleotide ribosomal RNA is filed under the name uncultured bacterium. RNAcentral describes it as "partial 16S ribosomal RNA". It matches the Rfam family "Bacterial small subunit ribosomal RNA", at positions 524 to 776 of the family's 1533-position model. The record is from RNAcentral.
GACAGAGGGUGCAAACGUUGUUCGGAAUUACUGGGCGUAAAGCGCGUGUAGGCGGCUUGGCAAGUCGGGUGUGAAAGCCCUGGGCUCAACCUAGGAAGUGCACUCGAAACUGCUUCGCUGGAGUGCCGGAGAGGAAAGCGGAAUUCUCGGUGUAGAGGUGAAAUUCGUAGAUAUCGAGAGGAACACCGGUGGCGAAGGCGGCUUUCUGGACGGUUACUGACGCUGAGACGCGAAAGCGUGGGGAGCAAACAGG